CUAACACUGGAGAGUUUAGAAAAAUUGGAAAUCUGAACGUUUUAGCUCAAGGGGAUUUCUCUUAAAUACAUUUACCUCAUUAUUUGAACAUAAAAAUACAACAUUAUAACAUUGUAGAUAUGACA
Molecule: long non-coding RNA, 125 nt
Organism: Etheostoma cragini (Arkansas darter)
Lineage: Eukaryota; Metazoa; Chordata; Actinopteri; Perciformes; Percidae
Exons: 3
Source: RefSeq, a predicted model, not a curated record